UCGGUGCCGGCAACCCAACGCAGUAAAGUGAUCCCCCCUGGGGGAGGACGUUUUGCAAGAAAUGAAACUCCAAAGGAAAUUGACGGGGACCCCCCCCAAGCGGUGGAGCAUGUGGUUUAUUUUUGAAGCAACGCGAAGAACCUUACCAGGGCCUUGACAUCCCCCUGAAUGGGUGGUAAUGCAUCCAGCCCUUCGGGGCAGGGGAGACAGGUGGUGCAUGGUUGUUGUCAGCUCGUGUCGUGAGAAGUUGGGUUAAGUCCCGCAACGAGCGCAACCCCUAUCCUUAGUAGCCAGCGAGCAAGACGGGCACUCUAGGGAGACUGCCAGGGAUAACCCGGAGGAAGGUGGGGAUGACGUCAAAUCAUCAUGCCCCUUAUGGCCUGGGCUACACACGUGCUACAAUGGGGUAAACAAAGGGAAGCGAAGGCGUGAGCGUAAGCAAAACCCAAAAAUAACUUCCCAGUUCGGGAAGUAGUUUGCAACCCGACUACAUGAAGCUGGAAUCGCUAGUAAUCGCGGAUCAGAAUGCCGCGGUGCAUUCUUUCCCGGGUUUUGUACACACCGCCCGUCA
Molecule: ribosomal RNA, 571 nt
Filed under: uncultured bacterium
Lineage: Bacteria
Description: bacterial SSU rRNA
Rfam family: Bacterial small subunit ribosomal RNA
Source: RNAcentral